Long non-coding RNA from Paramormyrops kingsleyae, 1663 nucleotides. RefSeq lists it as uncharacterized. The record is from RefSeq and is a predicted model, not a curated record. NCBI's taxonomy places the organism in Eukaryota, Metazoa, Chordata, Actinopteri, Osteoglossiformes, Mormyridae.
ACACAGGCCACAGGACAACAAGCCACAGAACAGAACAAUCAACAAGUACUGGCACAAGAACAUGGACAACAGGUGGAACUAAUAACAAUUAAACACAGAAACUAGGGCGUUUUACAAAUACCAAAAAUUAGAAAACAGGGAAUAAAGCACUAUGAACAGAAUGCAAGGAUAAUUAAACAGAACCAGAAAGGAACAGAACAGAACACAAGCAGGGAAAAUCUAGGACAGGAAAACUGAUAUAGAAAACAAACACUAGGAAAAACUAUAAUAAACAGAACAAGUAAGGCUGGCCUCAAACCCAAGACUGCAGGGCUACAGCUUUUGUGCUACACACUCAACCCCCAAAGUGGACUUCAUCAAAAAUCAGCCCACCAUCAUCAGCAAACUCCUUCCUUUGGGAAACUAUGAGAGAGCAGCCACCAUGCAGCUCAACAGGGCUGACAGUGUGAAAAGGAGCUCGUUCUUCACCUCCAACUCUUAUCAAUUAGGCCAAGAGAAAAUGUCACCCUGGCAAUGCCUGGACCGCCUGGAGCAGACGACCUAAAGUGAUUUGUAGCAGCUACUGUCAAGGACACUUCAGAUGUGCAUAUCACCAGAAAAUGACAGGACAAAGAACUGUUUUUGUCAUGUCUGUUGUGUAUCUGAGGGAGAAUCUCUAAUUGAUCUAUUUCUAGUGUUUAUAGCAACAAGCCAAUCUUGCUCAUGAUCAGCCAAUAUUAUUAUCAAGCAGGUGUUAGCUCAGUGGUUUCUCUAGUUGAAAUUAAAUAGUUUCGGAUGUUUUAGGAAAAGCGACAGUGGACAGCGGAGAAGUAAAACCAAAAUCAUUUGAAAUGUUUUGGAAAGUGGCUGCUUUGAGUGACGUCAUUGUGCAGAAUUCAUGGUGACAGCAUUCAGACCAGAGCGAUCUGUCAUGACACCAAAGGAGGUGGAGAAACAGCUUUCAAACUAGGGGAGAGAAGACAGUAAAUGUGGCAGCUGGAGGAUUUAAGUACAGAGACUGCAGGUCAAAAUGUGAAUCAGAAUCAGAAUUAGAAUGUGUGUACAUUUUUAUAUGUGCAGAUUUUAUUAGUUUAUUACACAGAUUUUUUUAAUGUGUAUUAAAAAGAACAGAAAAUAGGAAUGCCCUAAUGUGUAUAAACUUUCUCAUUUCCGUGUUUGUGACCUGGGCUGCACAGACUUCCACAGCUGGCGGACCAGGAAAUCGGCACCACAUGUGAUAUUUGUUGACGUUGGUCCCACUUUCUAGCUUCCCUGUCCAGGAUCCUCUUUUUGGUUUUAUAGUCCUUUGUGCUUCAGCCAACCUGUCUGGGAACCAUCCAUCUGAUCAGCAGCUCCAAGUCCCGUUACCUAUUUCCUGUGCUGUGGUGUCCUCUGAUCUCAGGGACCAGUGGGCAGGUGACCUGGCAUUGUGGAUGGACGGCCCAGCUCAGGUGCUCCAUCUUGGAUUCUGUCUGUGAAAGCCAAGAAACAUGUUUUCAACCUAGUGCCCUGGGUCCGUGUUGAGCCAGGAUACUACAUUCUGAAUCAUGAAAAUAGUCAGAAAUGCAUGUUUGGGUUUCCGCAUAUUUUCUUGCAUAUUUCAGUUGCCUCAAUCAUCAAUCAGGUCUUAUCUUGCAAAUGUAGAGAUGUUGCUGUUUGCCCUCAGGCAGGUUAUUACUAUUAU